This 73-nucleotide transfer RNA is filed under the name Cordylochernes scorpioides. RNAcentral's name for it is "tRNA-Thr". It matches the Rfam family "tRNA". Rfam says of the family: Transfer RNA (tRNA) molecules are approximately 80 nucleotides in length. Lineage: Eukaryota; Metazoa; Arthropoda; Arachnida; Pseudoscorpiones; Chernetidae. The record is from RNAcentral.
UCCAGGAUUGCCUAGUGGACAUGGCACCUGCCCGGUAAGCAGAAGGUUGUGGGUUCGAUUCCCGCUCCUGGAC